GCACUGCCGAGGAGUGCCGUAAUAGGACGAAACGGCCGUCCAGUGC
Molecule: non-coding RNA, 46 nt
Organism: Schistosoma rodhaini
Lineage: Eukaryota; Metazoa; Platyhelminthes; Trematoda; Strigeidida; Schistosomatidae
Source: Rfam